This 429-nucleotide ribosomal RNA is filed under the name Pseudomonadota bacterium. RNAcentral's name for it is "Proteobacteria bacterium partial 16S ribosomal RNA". It matches the Rfam family "Bacterial small subunit ribosomal RNA", at positions 355 to 776 of the family's 1533-position model. The record is from RNAcentral. Lineage: Bacteria; Pseudomonadati; Pseudomonadota.
UGGGGAAUAUUGGACAAUGGGCGAAAGCCUGAUCCAGCCAUGCCGCGUGUGUGAAGAAGGUCUUCGGAUUGUAAAGCACUUUAAGUUGGGAGGAAGGGCAGUAAGCGAAUACCUUGCUGUUUUGACGUUACCGACAGAAUAAGCACCGGCUAACUCUGUGCCAGCAGCCGCGGUAAUACAGAGGGUGCAAGAGUUAAUCGGAAUUACUGGGCGUAAAGCGCGCGUAGGUGGUUCGUUAAGUUGAAUGUGAAAGCCCCGGGCUCAACCUGGGAACUGCAUCCAAAACUGGCGAGCUAGAGUAGGGCAGAGGGUGGUGGAAUUUCCUGUGUAGCGGUGAAAUGCGUAGAUAUAGGAAGGAACACCAGUGGCGAAGGCGACCACCUGGGCUCAUACUGACACUGAGGUGCGAAAGCGUGGGGAGCAAACAGG